AAUCAUUGCCACCAUGUAUUAUCCACACAAUGAAUCCAUCACAUCAUUCACUGCUGGGUAAGAGGUAUGGAAAAUAGAGAGUUGUCCCUCUUCUGCCUAAACUUCCUGUCCAGAACAUGGUAUGACACAGCUGCACCAGCAACCCCUAGGAGAUGUCAUGAUUUAUUCCUAAGACCCCACAGGGCCCUUUACUAAGUCUUCCACAGCCGUCUAUUGAAGGGCGCUUUCUUUUUGAUAUAACAGGUGCAAACAGCAACGGGGCAAUGUGAAGUCGCCCUGAUUUGAUGGCAGGGGCACAGCCUACUGCUCAUCUACACUUUAUUUUCUUGCUUUUGAAUUCACAGGUCAUAAUAAAGCAUUGCAUAUCCACAGACCAGCAAGAAGAAUUAAUUAAGAGGAGCCUUUUAAUGUAGAAAGCAGCUUACUGAGAUAAUGGAAAAGGCUUUGGUAAGACUUGGCUUAAUUGGAAUUUCAAGCAAUUCCUUGCUUGUUGUACCAGGGAUUUUUACUGUUAUAGACAGGAUGAGCAAGCUGUUUAAAGAGCUUACUGGCAGAACUGGACUCAGAGGUUUCAGCAGAGAUGGUUUUGGUUCAAACAAUCAGGGCUGUCUUAGAAAACAGCAAGCAGAGAGCAUAGACUUGUUCUCUCGUCACUGUAUGAACAUACAAGUCUUAUAAACCUCUCAGAUAACGUAGGAACUAGAAGAUUAAUUUGAAAGGCAAGUUCCAGGAUAACAAACUUGUUGCCUGUUUCUAGAUUAAAAAUAUAGAAUGAAGGAAAGAGGAACCAAAUGCAGAGGAUGGGCUUUGACAUUUGAAAUGCAUGGGCUCAUACCUAAAUUCUACCCUGUACUUCCCGGUAAAUUCCAGCUAAUAAUUCCCACCUCAUAGUAGUGUAAAUAUUAAUUGCCAAUAGAACAUGUUAAACAUAUGGUACUCUGCUAUAGUAUGCAGCCAUCCUCUGUGUAGGAUACAUCAGGGAACAAGACACAGACACUUCCUUAGGGAACUUUGUAAUGGGACACACAGUGGAUAGAUUAUAUUCACUGGAAAGAAGAAGCCCUUUUCAUCUGAAUUAUGGUACAUUAACUGAACAACUGGAACACAAAGCCAAUUGAAAUGAAUGCAUUUCAAGGACAUGAAAGGGCUUCAGGGGAAAAGAAUGUGGUUUAUCUUUUUGUGAGCUGGCUAGGGGUAAGCAGAGGCCCAAGAAGAUGACUGAGUAUUUAGCAUCACUUGCUUAUUUCACUGCCUCACAGUACAGUUUUAUGGAUUUUUCUCUGGGUCCAAAUGCUACUUUUCAUAAACACCUAUGCCAGAAAUUCAAUGGGGCCAUCUGAAGGGCUGUUUGUCUGGAAAUUAGCUUGAUUCACAUCUGAAUUACCAAUGAUUACCAAUGAUUAGUUGAUUACAGCUUGACUUGAGCUUCAAUUGCUAUGAAGUGCUAUAUGUCACCUUAAAAUAUAUUCUACUGCAGGCUGAUUCUAUUUGCUUCUUGUUGUCUCCGUGGGGCUGAACUCAAAUUCUCUUAGCACACCUCUUGGUGGUUUCAGGAAACACGUGCAUGUUCUCCUCUUGUGAUGUUUGGUCUACCUACUUAGUUAAGGAUUGCAAAGAGUAGUUCCUUUUUUCCAAGAUAAGGAAAAGAGCCCUUUCAUGGGUGGCAAUUUCUUCAGUACAAAUGCUAUUUCUUCUCUGGUAAUGAUAAAGAUGAUGAAACUGAAUCCAGGGCAUUGUCCUGAAGCUUUUUUCAACGGAGCAGAUCUGUAUGGCCUUGAAAAUAAGUAGUCUUAAAUAAGACCCUGAGGCAAGGAAACAUCCAGAAGAAUAUGCAUUUGCUGGAAUAACAACUUUCUAAAUAUAGCAGCAGAAAUCUUUCCUGAUGCAACAGAAAAUUCCAGGAUGGGCUUCUGAGAAGAGGCUGACCUAUAGCAGUACAUCUGAAGGAAAAAUAGACCCAUAAUUGUUAUUUUCACUGUAUAUGUACAUAUACUAUUAAGGCACAAUUCUAAAAUUCCAAAUAAAACUCUGGGUCUUUUUGAAAAAAAAGACAAAGUAUUUAUUCUGGCCAGGGCCAAAGGGACCAGAAGGCAGACAUUUCCUCAGCCCAAGACAAAAGAGUGCAGGUGAAGAAUCAGCUUUAAGAACAAACAAACAACACAAAGAAGCAGGGUGGAAGAGGCAAGUACAAUCAUAAGACACAUUUCAUAAAGUGUAAAGCACCAAGUUCUCGAAUUGGCAUAC
This 2244-nucleotide long non-coding RNA is filed under the name Marmota monax (woodchuck). The record is from RNAcentral. Lineage: Eukaryota; Metazoa; Chordata; Mammalia; Rodentia; Sciuridae.